Molecule: non-coding RNA, 154 nt
Filed under: unclassified sequences
Description: RT-3 RNA
Rfam family: RT-3 RNA
Source: Rfam by way of RNAcentral
UUUGUGCGUACGAUAAGUGGAUACGUGUAUCCGAAUUUUGAGCACAGGGAAAUGAGCCUUGGCAACAGCGUGAGCAAUCACGGAAAGCCACAACAUAUACACACGGAGCAGAGUUUGGUAGGCAUGGCAACAUGAGCCGAAGAAGUCGUACUCC